AUGGACAAAACAAGAGAAAAAGAAAUGGAGCCAGACACGUGUGAUAGGAUUAGGGACAGGGAGAGAUUUCUUGCAACCCGAAGAAGAGAUGGAGAGAUUGACUGGAGAGAAAGAGAGAGGCGGAGAAAUGGAGAUCGAUGUGCAAAUGGAAGCUCAUCAGUGUCAGAGCAGGCUGAGUAUGGAGAUCGAUACAAUGAGAGGAGAAAAGGGGACACUUUUCCAAAGAUGACAAAACCAAACAGAGUGAGAGACAGAAGGACACCACUUACAGACUAUGAAAGAGAGCGUCACAUGGGAAGACCAAAGGACAUACUGUAUGAAAAGGAAAGGAGGAGAUACAGAGACAUGGACAUGCGGAGUGAAAGAGAAAUUGCAAGAAACAGGGAGGAGCUGAGGAGAAAUGAAAUGAGAAGGCCCGUAAAGGAGGAGCCAGAUAGACAGAGGGAACGAGACAGGGAGUUUGACUCAGGAAUGAGAGAUAGAAGGAGAGAAAGUUAUCCAGGGGUCAGUGACCUUUCAGGCAUGAGGGAAAGAGAGACAGACAGAGACAGAGAAAGACAUCGACAAAGAGAAAGAGAGGGCAGAUAUUAUCCUCGGCUCAUGGAAAGAGAGACAGAGAGCUUUUCAGACAGGGAAAGGAGGACUGAUAGACAAAGAGAUGGAGAGAGUUCUAGGAAAAGAGAUACAAAAAGCGAAGGAGACAGUGAUGGAGACAGGGGUAAGGAAAGGACGAGAGAAGAAGAUGCUACACAUAGACACAAACUCUACAAGAGUGAAGGAGACAGUGAUGCAGAGCGAAGGGCAGACAAAGUUAGAGAGAGAGAGAGACGUAGAGAGAGAGAAGCCGAAAGAUGGCGAGACAAGGCAGUAAGAGGAAGAGAUUACCGAGAGACGGGUUACCAUGAUCCAAAAGUAGAAAAUUCAGAACGACUCAAAGAGACAGAUAAACCAAGAGAUAGAACGAGAGACUCCAAAGACAAAAGAAUGGACAGAGAUUACUUAUACACAACUGAAAGAGGAAGGUGUAGGGAUGGAGAAAGGAUAAGAGAUAGGGAUAGGUAUUCUGAAAAAGAGAUUGAAGAGAGGGAGAGGCGGGUAAAAGAGUACAAAGAGACAGGGAGAAGUAAGAUGGAGAAUAGUGGAGAGCUGAUUUCAGGAAGUGAUAUUGAGAAUGAAAAAAGGAGGACAAUGAGAGAGAACCUUGAGGACAGAGACAGAGAAAACACAUCUGAGAUUGAUAAAGAAAGACUGGAGGAAAGAACAGAGGAAGAGCAGGAAGUAAGGAUUACACCGAGGGAAGAAGAGAAGAGUGAAAGCUUUGCUGCUGAGGAAGCAGUUACAAAGAAACCUAAGAACAGGAUAAGGAAAAUGUGGCUGGAACCUCGAAGUGAGAGAAAAGAAUCUUGUUUAAAAGAGGACACAGAGAGAGAGAGAGAAAGAGAGAGGUACAUCCAAAGAUACAAAGAAAGCAUGACAACAGGGAAUGAAGAAGAGCCUGAGAGAAGGAAACCAAGCAAGAGCAAAUGUCUUGAGGACAAGUAUAGAGAACUUGAAAGGGCUGGAGAGUUCAUGAGGGAUGUGGACGUAGAAAGGGAGGAGAAGAGGAUGGAAGGGGACAUGGCUUAUGAUAAAGAAGCCAUAGAAUCAGAGUGGCAGAUGGAAAGAGAGAAUGUGGCCGAUAACUUGGAAGAAAAUGAUAGAGAUGAACAGAGAAGCAAUAAUAGAUAUGACUACUUGGAGAAUGAGGAAGGAAGUGAGGGAGAAUCGGAAGCAGAGAAGAACAGAAUGAUGUCAGCAGAUGACGGAUUUGUAACAGUCUCCAGUGGAGGGGAUGAUGCGGAGGAAGAGGAUUUUGAAGACUGCAAAGAAUUCUGGGAAGGUGGAGUUCCCAAAGCUAUCUCUGGACACUCAGGAACUACAGAGGACACAGAAAAUGGAGCAAAUGAAGCUCCAAAAGGACCCUUAAGAGUCUUUUGUGUGAUUGGUCAGACCCAUCCCACGUCACAAACCAAUGAGAAUUCAUAUGCACAUCCUACUGUUGAAGAGGCAGCCAAUCAGCAUUCAUGUCAUAACAUGGGCACUCAAGGUGAAAUGAGCAUAAAUGAAGCAUUUGAAAAGGUUGAACACUGUGAACAGGACAUUGAAAGAGCAAUGGCUGACCUCAGUCUUUGUCCUAAUGAGGACAAAGGGGAGGGAGCAGGGAGUAAUGACCAGACAACAGAGGGCGUAACAUCACUGGAAGGCCAAAUGAUUCCUCCCAGUGAGCGAUCAGAACAAGACACCCAACUCUUCCUACCAGAGCCUUCUGAAACUUCAGGGCCAUCCAAGGAUAAUGGUCAUGGGGGAACAGAGACUCAUAGUGAAGACACAAUACAAAGAGGAGCAAAAGAACCUACCGGAGACCCAGUGGAGCAUUCUGGUUCUGAUGAGACAUGGAGCACAUCUGAGGAACGAAAGCGAUGCUCUACUGCUCCUCACCUUAGUUGGGCCAAGAACGUGGUGAGAGAGAUCCUGGGUCGAAAGUCGGUGGACACAGAAAAUGCAAGAGGUAGUGUGACACACAUAGACACGCAAACCAACACACAAACAGAGGGUGAGAGAGAAAUGGACGAAUCAAGGAAAGAGGAAGAAAUAAUAGAGGGAGGAGAAGAACAACAGGGAGGGAUGGAGAGAGAGUUGAAUGCGAACCGUGACUGGCUGGAUCCUAGUUCUAACCAGCACACGGUUUCCUCAGAAGGAGAGGCAGAGGGGAAGGUAGAAGAAGUGUCUAAGAAGAAAGAGAGUAAAGAGGAAGUUGUUCUAAGCUCUAGUAGUUUUCGAGAUUUGGGGAAUGAGGCUCGCACGAGGAGGCGAGGGUUUCGAAAGUCAGCGGAGAAAACCAAAGAAGAGGAAGAGGUUGAGGAAGAGGAAGAGGGAGUUGGAAGGGACCGCAGGACGAGAAUAUUCAACAAAUCAGGUGAGAGAAAGACUAACAUAAGAAGGCUGACUUGGAUAUUCAGUGACCCACUUGCUCCCACUCAUGUGAGGAGAUCUAAAUGUGUCUUGAGAUGUCUGUUGAACCUAUUCUAUCAAAUUGAAUAUACCAGUGGUAUAAUGUCAUGUAGAGAGGCUAAAUGUGCUUACGCAAGAAUGUAA
RNAcentral lists this long non-coding RNA (3135 nucleotides) under Sinocyclocheilus anshuiensis. RNAcentral describes it as "lncRNA (ENSSANG00000001699.1)". Lineage: Eukaryota; Metazoa; Chordata; Actinopteri; Cypriniformes; Cyprinidae. The record is from RNAcentral.